RNAcentral lists this non-coding RNA (29 nucleotides) under Rattus norvegicus (Norway rat). The record is from RNAcentral. Lineage: Eukaryota; Metazoa; Chordata; Mammalia; Rodentia; Muridae.
UGAGAAUAACUGUAAUCUCAGCCUCUUUU